RNAcentral lists this ribosomal RNA (364 nucleotides) under Streptomyces griseus. Its description in RNAcentral is "bacterial SSU rRNA". It matches the Rfam family "Bacterial small subunit ribosomal RNA", at positions 100 to 498 of the family's 1533-position model. RNAcentral also lists the same sequence under 4 other names. Lineage: Bacteria; Bacillati; Actinomycetota; Actinomycetes; Kitasatosporales; Streptomycetaceae. The record is from RNAcentral.
GAACGGGUGAGUAACGUGGGCAAUCUGCCCUUCACUCUGGGACAACCCUGGAAACGGGUAAUACCGGAUAACACUCUGUCCCGGGGGGGGUUAAAAGUCCGGCGGUGAAGGAUGAGCCCGCGGCCUAUCAGCUUGUUGGUGGGGUAAUGGCCUACCAGGCGACGACGGGUAGCCGGCCUGAGAGGGCGACCGGCCACACUGGGACUGAGACACGGCCCAGACUCCUACGGGAGGCAGCAGUGGGGAAUAUUGCACAAUGGGCGAAAGCCUGAUGCAGCGACGCCGCGUGAGGGAUGACGGCCUUCGGGUUGUAAACCUCUUUCAGCAGGGAAGAAGGACGGUACCUGCAGAAGAAGCGCCGGCU